AACGAACGCUGGCGGCAUGCCUAACACAUGCAAGUCGAACGAGACCUUCGGGUCUAGUGGCGCACGGGUGCGUAACGCGUGGGAACCUGCCCUUAGGUUCGGAAUAACUCCCCGAAAGGGGUGCUAAUACCGGCUAAUGUCUUCGGACCAAAGAUUUAUCGCCUUUGGAUGGGCCCGCGUUGGAUUAGCUAGUUGGUAGGGUAAAAGCCUACCAAGGCGACGAUCCAUAGCUGGUCUGAGAGGAUGAUCAGCCACACUUGGACUGAGACACGGCCCAGACUCCUACGGGAGGCAGAAGUGGGGAAUAUUGGACAAUGGGCGAAAGCCUGAUCCAGCAAUGCCGCGUGAGUGAUGAAGGCCUUAGGGUUGUAAAGCUCUUUUACCCGGGAUGAUAAUGACAGUACCGGGAGAAUAAGCUCCGGCUAACUCCGUG
RNAcentral lists this ribosomal RNA (433 nucleotides) under uncultured bacterium. RNAcentral describes it as "partial 16S ribosomal RNA". It matches the Rfam family "Bacterial small subunit ribosomal RNA", at positions 29 to 507 of the family's 1533-position model. The record is from RNAcentral.